AAGGAUCCUUUCUUGUUUCCAUUUGGUGCCACGGCUUGGGUGAAGGUUUCAGAGUGGUUAAAAAGUUGCCUCCUGGCUGGAGGCAGCGGCUCUGGCAGAGAUCUCGGGACUGGGGAAGGCAGAGGGGUCCCGCCAAGGCUACCAGAUUCCGGAGACGCCUAGUUUCGCUGGCAGGAGAGCCUUUGGAAGAGAUACUCGCCCAGCCCAGCCUGGGGGCGGCCAGCCUGCACAGGUUGGUCAAGUGGACGGCCAUCUUGACGAGCUCCUCCUCCAGGAAGUGGUGCUCCCGGAGCUUGGAGAGCGGGGCGUCUGCGUCCGCAGAACCCAGGACGUGUAGAUCCUAGAGGGAGCCUGGUUAGGGCUCUUCUCGGGGGCCGUGGGGGCCUCCACUCCUCCCGGGCCAUCACCUGCCGGUCCUACCAGGGCGCGGCCACCCCACUGCUUCCGCGCCUUAAGGAAAAGCUCGGCGCCCUUGCACUUCGGCCAACAUCCAGAAGAAGCGGCCCACACCUUCCAGAGCCACCUCGUUGCCUUUGAAGUAGAAGCUCCGAGAGGAUGUCUGUCGAGUCUUUCCACUGAAGGACACUGAGUCUUCCCUCAUUGAGAUACUGCCUCUGGGUUUGCAAACAACUACACGGGUGAGAGCUGGGCGGUGCACUACACUGGUCUGGACGAGCUGGAUUCCUGGGCAGAGGAAGGGGCAGCCGUGGCUUGUUUGUGAGUAUGGCAGAAGGUAAGGAAUUUGAUUCAAGCUGGUAAAGAACAAGCGCCAGGGAGGAGAGAGGAGUCAUUCGUCCUUUCCCCCUCCUGCUGGUAUAAACAACAGGAAGCAAAGACCCUCUUGUUCCUUCCACGGCCUCCAGCUGCUCCUUUCAGCCAGCACACAGCUGACCCACAGGCGCCUCACUGGACUCUGCUCUAAAAGCAGGCACAGCAUAAGAUUUCUUCCUGAGAUGUUUACUUGCCAAGAACAAUGGUGACACAAUCAAGAGCUGCGUUUCUAUUCCCUGAGAGGUGGACGAAGGUGAAACUGCUGGCCUGCCAGACCUUUCUUUCCCGAGUUUCCUUCCAGCAGGAAGCCGGGGAGUGUUUAUCCUAAAGCUCUCGGUUCUCAGGCCGCCGCUGCCUCCUCAGUGUAAGUAAACUCAGUGAAAACAUGCCACCGUAACCGCCAGAUAAGCCUCACUCCAGAAUCACCAGGAAGGAGGCUGAGGUGGGUUCACCUGCCCGCACAGGUCAGGUCAGCCUGACACUAUUCCCCUUUCCUUGAAUCCUUUUUCUUCUUUCUGAGAAUUUCACGACUGCUGUGGCCUGAAGCAGAUUCUCUUAGUCCUCUUUUGACCUCACAAAUCUCCCUCUUCCUUCCGGACUGUCACUUGAAGGAGGUGUGUGCUUGCCUGCCUGGGGAGGAACUGCCAGCAAUUCAAGGAAUAAGCGUUAAGUGGGAGAAAAUGGAUUGGUGCGCAAGCCGGGCGCCCUCGCCAGAACUGGGGGAGGCCUGCAGGUAAAGACACUGCGGUCUCUUUUAGAAAGAUUAAAAGAAAGAAAAUUGGAGACCCAUAAAAAAUUAGUAUCAGAUGCAGAUUCUGGGUGGUUUUUUUGGUUAAAAAUAGUUUGACAUGUAGACCUCAGGCUAAAACUGAAAAGCUCUAUUUAUUGAACUCCACAAACAAAGAAUAUUGGUAAUAGGUUUAGAAGAUAGAUUUAAAAAAGGCAAUUAUGACUGCUGCCUGAAUAUUAUGAAAUAUUUGACAUACGAGCUAUAAGCCAAUAGGAGAAAUAAACAUUUUCUUGUUAUGAAUUUAUAUCAUUUUCUUUAAAAAAAAAAAAAUUAGAUGCCAAGAAA
Odocoileus virginianus texanus is the source of this 1846-nucleotide non-coding RNA. NCBI's taxonomy places the organism in Eukaryota, Metazoa, Chordata, Mammalia, Artiodactyla, Cervidae. The record is from RefSeq and is a predicted model, not a curated record.